GUAACACGUAGUUACCUGCCCUGAAGUGGGGGAUAACAACUCGAAAGAGUUGCUAAUAGGCCGCAUGUGACCACCGGAUCCAUUUCGGUGCUCAAAGUCGCAAGACGCUUUAGGAGGGGCCUGCGGGCGGAUUAGCUAGUUGUGUGGGGUAAACGGCCUACCAAGGUCGUCGAUCCGUAGCUGGUCUGAGAGGAUGACCAGCCAGACUGGGACUGU
Molecule: ribosomal RNA, 216 nt
Filed under: uncultured fungus
Lineage: Eukaryota; Fungi
Description: partial 18S small subunit ribosomal RNA
Rfam family: Bacterial small subunit ribosomal RNA
Source: RNAcentral